UACGGAGGGUGCGAGCGUUGUCCGGAAUCACUGGGCGUAAAGGGCGCGUAGGCGGUUCGUUAAGUCGUUGGUGAAAUCCCGGGGCUCAACUCCGGGGCGGCCGGCGAGACUGGCGGGCUCGAGCACGGUAGAGGCAGAUGGAAUUCCCGGUGUAGCGGUGGAAUGCGUAGAUAUCGGGAAGAACACCAGUGGCGAAGGCGUUCUGCUGGGCCGUUGCUGACGCUGAGGCGCGACAGCGUGGGGAGCAAACAGG
This 253-nucleotide ribosomal RNA is filed under the name uncultured bacterium. Its description in RNAcentral is "partial 16S ribosomal RNA". It matches the Rfam family "Bacterial small subunit ribosomal RNA", at positions 524 to 776 of the family's 1533-position model. The record is from RNAcentral.